CCUACGGGUGGCAGCAGUGAGGAAUAUUGGUCAAUGGACGAGAGUCUGAACCAGCCAAGUAGCGUGAAGGAUGACUGCCCUAUGGGUUGUAAACUUCUUUUAUAUGGGAAUAAAAUGUUCCACGUGUGGGAUUUUGUAUGUACCAUAUGAAUAAGGAUCGGCUAACUCCGUGCCAGCAGCCGCGGUAAUACGGAGGAUCCGAGCGUUAUCCGGAUUUAUUGGGUUUAAAGGGAGCGUAGGUGGAUUGUUAAGUCAGUUGUGAAAGUUUGCGGCUCAACCGCAAAAUUGCAGUUGAAACUGGCAGUCUUGAGUACAGUAGAGGUGGGCGGAAUUCGUGGUGUAGCGGUGAAAUGCUUAGAUAUCACGAAGAACUCCGAUUGCGAAGGCAGUUCACUGGACUGCAACUGACACUGAGGCUCGAAAGUGUGGGUAUCAAACAGGAUUAGAUACCCUUGUAGUC
RNAcentral lists this ribosomal RNA (460 nucleotides) under uncultured bacterium. RNAcentral's name for it is "partial 16S ribosomal RNA". It matches the Rfam family "Bacterial small subunit ribosomal RNA", at positions 338 to 795 of the family's 1533-position model. The record is from RNAcentral.